This 645-nucleotide long non-coding RNA is filed under the name Homo sapiens (human). RNAcentral describes it as "HSALNT0302745". Lineage: Eukaryota; Metazoa; Chordata; Mammalia; Primates; Hominidae. The record is from RNAcentral.
CAAACUUUAAGGGGUUUAUUGGUUUCUCACCUCACCUCUGGCCCUUUUAAAUUGACCAGAUCUAUUAUCUUCAAAGGGAAAAGUCAGGGCAGGCAGUGACCUAGGCCAGGGGAGAUUCUGCCUCAUUUCUACAAAAUAAGUUUAAACAGAAAAACCUGAUUCCACUAUUCAUCUGCCCUGCAGUGGGUGUGGACUGUCCCAGGCUUUCCUUCAGUGAUGUUUUCCUCCUCCUGCGAGUCUGCAAGUUUUAGAGUCAGUGCACUAGGGCUCUCCCAGAACCAUGGUGUGCGGCUUUAUGAAAAGAAUACGAACAUACCUCAUCGCUUCUGCCUUUCCAUUAAAGGCAACAGAAGCUGUAUCCUGUAAGAACUGACCCAUAUGUGAUUAUUUGGGGGCAACUGGGCCUUGUGUCCAGUGGAAGAUAAAGAGCACUUUUAUGCUCUUGGAGAAAGAAGUGGCUGAAGUCAUUUGUCGUUAGAAGGAAGGAAGGAAGGAAGGAAGGAAGGAAGGAAGGAAGGAAAACAUUUAUUGGACAUCCAUAUGUCCCCAGAUACUUUGCCACGUAUAUAUAUUUUUAUUUUCUCAUUUGUCGCAUCAUAACUCUGCAAAGAUAGAAUUCUACCCAUAUUAAAGACAAAAAACUGA